CCAAAUGGGUGGUAAACAUCACCUAAGGCUAAAUAUUGGCGAGAGACCGAUAGCGAACAAGUACCGUGAGGGAAAGAUGAAAAGAACUUUGAAAAGAGAGUUAAACAGUACGUGAAAUUGUUGAAAGGGAAACGAUUGAAGUCAGUCGUGCUGGCGCGAAAUCAACCUUCUCGUCUUGAGAUCACAUGGCGUGGCGAGCCUCAAAACCGUUACGAAGCGUGAACUCUUGGUGAAAUGGAGCACUUUCGUGUCCGCUGGUUAACUUCAAUUUCGAACGUCAUAAAAAGGCUGGAGGGAUGUGGCUCCUUCGGGAGUGUUAUAACCUUUAGCGGAAUGUGGUGUUCGGGAUUGAGGAUUGCAACGAAUACCUUUAGGGCUGUUCCACCUGGCUUCUCUUUGGUAUCCUGGUGACGACAGCUUGCUGACGUCGUUAGGAUUCGCCUUUGAACAGGUUAGAGUGUGAGCAAA
Molecule: ribosomal RNA, 468 nt
Filed under: Entrophospora claroidea
Lineage: Eukaryota; Fungi; Glomeromycota; Glomeromycetes; Entrophosporales; Entrophosporaceae
Description: partial 26S ribosomal RNA
Rfam family: Eukaryotic large subunit ribosomal RNA
Source: RNAcentral